UCCUGCCUGAUUCCCCCAGGCACUUUUGGUUGGGGUGGCUGGUCAAGAAAUGGGGGAGAGGGCCCCAAGUAUCUGAUAUCAGAGGAAGGAACCCCGGUAUUUCACUUUAAGUGGGCCCGGAGGGUCAUUUUAGUUGACCCUGGAGUGGCGUCUGAGACGUCUCGUAGCCUGAUGUCUUUGAGGACGUCUCUCAUCACUGGGUAGCCCCACCACGACCCUGUAAGCGCGUGCUCAGUGAACAAAUAGGGUUGCCAUGAUGGUAGGGUUCUAUAUGCCUUGCCGUGAAGCAAAGCCAGUGACCUCUCUGGGCCUCCCUCUAGGCAAGGAGAAUUCUGGAGUCAUGGGCAGUUGAGGUAGGGUGGCUCCAGCCGUCCUCAACUGGCCUGAGUGGAUAAGGACACAGGCUGAGGUCCGAAUCCCCGUCCUCAAGUCAAGACAGCCCCUGGACAACGGCCGAGCCCGGGUUCAAAUACCGGCUCUCACCACAUGCCCUCGGGAAGGCAGCCUGCUGGUUUGGGGGCCUCAGUUUCCUCAUCUGUAAAGUGGGAGGUGAUCUGUGAAAGGCACCCCGGGUAGGUGGGGUCUGGCAGCCAGGAGAUAAAAAAGUGAUUAUAGAAAAGCAGGCAGAUGGGCUUGGACACCCGUUUCCCCACCUGGAGCGUGGCCUGAGGCUGGAGGGGUGAUCGCUCCAGCCACUUACAGUGUCUUGAGAAUUGAAUGGCUAAUCAGGGGGGCACAUUUUGAGCAUAAAGGGCUUAGGGUGUGCGGUGUCCAGAAGACGCACGGACCGUGAGGUCUAACGUCAGUAACAGCCUUAAGCCCAGUCUCGUAGCAGAUACGCCACAGGUGGGGACUUAGUGUUAUUCCAGAAAGCCUGUAACACACACACAGUAGGUGCUUAAUAUGUGGGAACUAUCACUGCUACUUAGCAAAGCCCUUAGCACACUGCCUGGCACACAAUAGGUGCUUCAUAAGUGCUCUCUUAAACCUAAACACAGAUCGUCAUGGCGCGAGGCCCCCUUAUUGGCACUCACCAGAUGGAAGGUGCUAGUCAUUUGCAACAAGCUUACCCUGGUGUCCCCUGCACAGUAGGAACCCCAGACACGGGGCCCAUGAUCGUUGUUCCGUGAAGCCCCUGGCAGAAUGCCUGGCAUACAGUAAGUGCUCGAUAAGUGGCAUUUUCUUCCAAGAGGCUGGCCUUGCUCUGGGCGCUUAUGCUCAGAUAGGAACCGUUGUCAGUCUGACAGGACCUAGCAUGGGGUUUGGGGUCCGCAGGUUCUGCUCAAAACGUGAAGUCGUUACCUGCAGAACCUUUGACACUGUGUGCACACAGGAGGUGCUUGAGAAGGAAAAACUGCUCCGAUUUAUGUAUAAGGCCCUUAGCACAGCAGCUGGCACACGGUAGGUGCUUAAGAAGUGAGAACUAUUCAUGUUCUACAAGGCCCGGAAUGCAGUGCCUUUUACAUCGUAGGUGUUUAGUAGCUAGGAACUCUUGCUGUGCUUUUCAGUAAAGCCUCCAGCCCAGUGCUUGGCACGUAGUAGGUGCUCAUUAUGUGGGGACUAGUACUGUUUUUUUUAUAAAGUCCCCAGCCCGGUGCCUGGCACGUAGUAGGUGCUUAGUAUGCGGGGACUAGUACUGUUAUCCGAUGAAGCCUCCAGCCCGGUGCCUGGCACGUAGUAGGUGCUCAGUAUGUGGGGGCUAGUACUGUUAUCCGAUGACGCCCCCAGCCCGGUGCCUGGCACGUAGUAGGUGCUCAGUAUGUGGGGGCUAGUACUGUUAUCCGAAGAAGCCUCCAGCCCGGUGCCUGGCACGUAGUAGGUGCUCAGUAUGUGGGGGCUAGUACUGUUAUCCGAUGAAGCCCCCAGCCCGGUGCCUGACACAUAGUGGGUGCUCAUUAUGUGGGGACUAAUACUGUUAUCCGAUGAAGCCCCCAGCCCGGUGCCUGGCACGUAGUGCGUGCUUAGUAUGUGGGGGCUAGUACUGUUAUCCGAUGAAGCCCCCAGCCCAGUGCCUGGCACGUAGUAGGUGCUCAUUAUGUGGGGGCUAGUACUGUUAUCCGAUGAAGCCCCCAGCCCGGUGCCUGGCACGUAGUAGGUGCUCAGUAUGUGGGGACUAGUACUGUUAUCCGAUGAAGCCCCCAGCCCGGUGCCUGGCACGUAGUAGGUGCUCAUUAUGUGGGGGCUAGUACUGUUAUCCGAUGAAGCCCCCAGCCCGGUGCCUGGCACGUAGUAGGUGCUCAGUAUGUGGGGACUAAUACUGUUAUCCGAUAAAGUCCCCAGCCCGGUGCCUGACACGUGGUAGGUGCUCAUUAUGUGGGGACUAGUACUGUUAUCUGAUAAAGCCCUGAGUCCAGUGCCUGGCACAUAGUAGGUACUCAUUACGUGGGGACUAGUACUGUUAUCUGAUGAAGCCCCCAGCCCGGUGCCUGGCACGUAGUAGGUGCUCAUUACGUGGGGACUAAUACUGUUAUCCGAUGAAGCCCCCAGCCUGGUGCCUGGCACAUAGUAGGUGCUCAUUAUGUGGGGACUAAUACUGUUAAUCUGAUGAAGCCCCCAGCCUGGUGCCUGACACAUAGUGGGUGCUCAUUAUGUGGGGACUAAUACUGUUAUCCGAUGAAGCCCCCAGCCCGGUGCCUGGCACGUAGUGCGUACUCAUUAUAUGGGGACUAAUACUGUUAAUCUGAUGAAGCCCCCAACCCGGUGCCUGCCACGUAGUAGGUGCUCAGUAUGUGGGGGCUAAUACUGUUAUCCGAUGAAGCCCCAGCCCGGUGCCUGGCACAUAGUAGGUACUUAUUAUGUGGGGACUAGUACUGUUAAUCUGAUAAAGCCCCCAGCCCAGUGCCGGGCACGUAGUAGGUGCUUAGUAUGUGGGGACUAGUACUGUUAAUCUGAUGAAGCCCCCAGCCCGGUGCCUCGCACGUAGUAGGUGCUUAGUAUGUGGGGACUAGUACUGUUACCUGAUGUAGCCCCAGCCCGGUGCCUGGCAUAUAGUAGG
Neofelis nebulosa (Clouded leopard) is the source of this 2995-nucleotide long non-coding RNA. RefSeq lists it as uncharacterized. Lineage: Eukaryota; Metazoa; Chordata; Mammalia; Carnivora; Felidae. The record is from RefSeq and is a predicted model, not a curated record. The transcript has 3 exons.